This 170-nucleotide long non-coding RNA is filed under the name Apteryx owenii (little spotted kiwi). RNAcentral describes it as "lncRNA (ENSAOWG00000015262.1)". The record is from RNAcentral. Lineage: Eukaryota; Metazoa; Chordata; Aves; Apterygiformes; Apterygidae.
CGCCGCCUCCGCCCCGCCCCUUCCCGCCGGAGCGGGCGGGAGCGGGGCCUCUCCGCGGGCUGCGGCCUUCUCCCGAGGAUGACCUUUCUGGCUGUACCAGUCUGACAACUUUUACCUGUAGGAAGGUUUUUGUAUGUGGCACUUCAGGUCAGGAAGCCGGACAACAUUGA